Molecule: long non-coding RNA, 788 nt
Filed under: Salmo salar (Atlantic salmon)
Lineage: Eukaryota; Metazoa; Chordata; Actinopteri; Salmoniformes; Salmonidae
Description: lncRNA (ENSSSAG00000116363.1)
Source: RNAcentral
GUUUUGCGAAGGAACUCUAGAAAACAUCAAGGAAGUCAACCUACCUCCUCUGGCUUUACUUCUCUAGUGCAACGAAGUCAUUCACCCACCCAGGUUCCCGAAGGACAUGUUGUGAAAAGGGGACUGCAGUGGAUGAGGCUUGAAAGCUUCUCCAGAACCUUCCAGCAAGUGGAGGGAAGGAGGGAGUAUGAGACCCCAGCUCCUCGCAGGUUCAACCCAAAGCCCACACUCUGGAACACCACUAAACUCCGGAACACCCAGAACACUACACAGCUGCACAGCUCCAGGACACAGAAUACACCUCACACAGUGCAAGGAAACUUCUGGAGGCCAUCCCUAACAACAGCAGCAGCUUGGCAGCCAGAGGUGUGCAGCAGCAGUUUUCUUAGGGUUGCCAUAGCAACACCACCGAUGGCAACCUGCAAACAGUGCAAUCCAGCCACAUAUGAAUUCCCUAACUACGCAACAAGAAGCAGACAACAGCUACAUCACCCAUAUUCAAGAACGAGGGUAACAGGUGAUUUAAAGUGCAGUAAACAAGCAACUUGAAAAUAAUGAAUUUGAUAAAUACUCAGGCGUCCGCAUUGAAAAGUGGUGCUGAAUGGUCUCUAAAACCAGCAGAUGAUAUUAUUCUUACAGAGCGUCUCUGUAGGCGAUAGAUUGAUAGUAGUUUGGUAUGGUGUGUGUGUGCUGGCCCAUAUAAUGUUACAGUAACGGAUGAAUGGGAUAUUCAUUGUGUAGUAGAGACUGAGAGCAGUGCCUCUGUUUAGGAGAUAUCUAAUUUUGCC